Paramuricea clavata is the source of this 201-nucleotide non-coding RNA. The record is from the annotation of a GenBank genome assembly. NCBI's taxonomy places the organism in Eukaryota, Metazoa, Cnidaria, Anthozoa, Malacalcyonacea, Plexauridae.
AAGCUGGAGUAAUACGAGCAACAAAAUCGCUGCAACUUGCAACAAAAUCUGAUUUCAACGCAUGUUAAGUAGAAAUGUCGACACAUGUUGCCUUGUGAUUUGUAAUUUUUGUGUAAACAUUUUCAAUUAACAUGCGUUGAAAUCAGAUUUUGUUGCAAGUUGCAGCAAUUUUGUUGCUCGUGUAACACCACCUUUAGCAGU